UACGGGGGGGGUAAGCGUUGUUCGGAAUUACUGGGCGUAAAGGGCUUGUAGGCGGCCAACUAAGUCCGACGUGAAAUCCCCAGGCUUAACCUGGGAACUGCGUCGGAUACUGGAUGGCUUGAAUUCGGGAGAGGGAUGCAGAAUUCCAGGUGUAGCGGUGAAAUGCGUAGAUAUCUGGAGGAACACCAAUAGCGAAGGCAGCUCGCUGGGACGGUACUGACGCUGAGGCGCGAAAGCGUGGGGAGCGAACAGG
RNAcentral lists this ribosomal RNA (253 nucleotides) under uncultured bacterium. Its description in RNAcentral is "partial 16S ribosomal RNA". It matches the Rfam family "Bacterial small subunit ribosomal RNA", at positions 524 to 776 of the family's 1533-position model. The record is from RNAcentral.